Molecule: long non-coding RNA, 5743 nt
Organism: Scylla paramamosain (green mud crab)
Lineage: Eukaryota; Metazoa; Arthropoda; Malacostraca; Decapoda; Portunidae
Exons: 3
Source: RefSeq, a predicted model, not a curated record
GUUUCUUUCUUUUUUCUUUGCAAAUUAGUCUGUUUCCUAAUAUUUCUGUGUAUUGUGUGUGUGUGUGUGUGUGUGUGUGUUACAAGCCUAUACAUACAUACAGACAGACAGACCCUCACUAAGCAUAGAAGGACGGAGAGAGGAUUACAGUCUUGAGCAGGCCAGCCACACUCCCCAGUCCACACCGCACCACACAGCCCCCUCUUUCAUCUUACCACACCACACACCACCACAUCACAGUCCUCUCUUUCUUCCCUAGUGGACAAGAGGUAGGAAAAGAGAAGAAAGUGGAGAAAGAAGAACUGGGAGAAAAGGGAAGGGAAACAGCUGAAGAAGGAGGAAAUAGGAACAGGAAAGGAAAAGAAAUAAGAACAAGAAAGAAGAGAGAUUGAAGAACAAAAGAUAACAGGAGAACAAGAAUAGAAGUAAAGUCGAUGUAGUGUUUUCAGGAGAACAAGAACAGAAGUAAAGUCGAUGUGGUGUUUUCAAGUCUGUUCUGUUUGUUGUUCUGUUUGUAGCAUCACAGGAAGGAAGGACUGUGUGUGUGUGUGUGUGUGUGCUUGUUUAUCUUGCCAUAGGAAGGAAAGAUUAAGUGUGUGUGUGUGUGUGUGUGUGUGUGUGUGGUGGUGGUGAGCACAGAAACACCCACAAACAACUGGCAAGGAGUGUGGCGGCUCGAGAACAAAAGCAAACCCAAACUUAAAAUAAAGCUAAUAAUUAAAUAAAUGUAUGCAGUAUAAAGCUUGUGAAUGUCGUGAGGUUAAUCCAGAAGUAAAACUAAAUCACUGAUGUACAAACUCACAAACGAACAGCACAACUAAAAACUAAAUGGACGUAUUUAAUUAUAAACUUGUGAAUGUUGUGAGAUUAAAGAACUAAAACUAGAUCAAACUAAAUAACCUACAUACAUACAUACAUACAUACACACAGACAGACUAAGCUUUUUAAACAUGGUAUGGUAAUAAUGGUCUAUAAACUAAAUAAAUUGGCGCAUGUACUGAGCUCGUACACGGAUUAAUUCAGACGUAGCCAAAUCAUCGGCGUACAUGAAGUUAUAAACGCAACGAAGUGAGAUUCGAAAGAUAUAAAUGUAGUGAAAUAAUCUCAGUAGUUGAUAAAAGGCUUGGAGGUUAAUAUACAGAGGAGAGAGAGAAAGAAAGAGAGGGAAAAGAAAAAAUGUGAUUAAUUUACUGAGAGAAUGAGAGACAGAGAAAAAAUUACAGAGAGGAAGAAAGAGGGAAAAAAGUUGAUUAAUUAGCAGAGAAAGAGAGAGGGAAAAAAAGGAGAUUAAUUUUGGGGAAAAAAAAAGAGAGAAGGGAGGGAAAAAUAAAAAAAAAAAUUGAGGCAGGAAAGAUAAUACAAAAAAAAGAAAAAGAGAGACUGAGGAUUAGUGCAGUAAAGUCUUUCAGCUCUCAAAACCAAUUACAGCAAGAACCAUUUGUCAAUUCCCUUUAUCAUUAUUAUUAUAAUUCCAGGUGAAAACGAAGGGCAGGAAGAAACACAAGAAAGUCACAAAACAGUUGAAGCAGUGUUGCAGAAAACAAAAAAAGACAAUACAAGGAGAAGGAAUGAGUUCAACGCUGCAACACUUAAGACAAUACAACAAGAAACACACUUCACCCUGAGACAAGACAAGACAACACAAAACAGGACAAGACAAAGUGGUGAUGACAGUGGAGGUGUGGCAAUGUGAAGUGUACACCCUGUCACAGCUGCCAACACGAGAAGCUACACUUUGGGAGCGCAAGAAACACUGGUUGUUACUGGCGGAGGUGGUAACACUGCCGCCCAACACUGCCGCCCAAAAAUGGGUUUGCAGGAAGGAGAGGAGAAAGCAAAUCAUUGACAGAAGGUGGUUUUUUAGAAGGUUGGAUUCUGAAGGGAAGGAAAAUAAGCCUGAAAGGAACAAAAGGGAAUAAACAAAAGAGAGAGAGAGAGAUGAGUGUGUGGAGGAAGAUACAAUUGGUUUUUGAAGAUUUAACAAGGUUUUGAGUUUGAAAGGAACAAGAGGAAACAAAGAAAAGGUGGUUUGGAGAUUAUUGAAGAAGUUACAGUGUCUUAAGAAGAUUAAGAAGGAGAAACAAGAUUGAGUUUGGAAGGAACAAGAGGUGGUUUGGAUAUUACUGAAGAAUACAGCAUCUUAAAGAGGAUUAUGGAGAGAGAGUGAGAGAAGUGUGUGAAAGAAGAUAGUUGGUUUUUUGAAGGUGAUUUUGAGGGAAGAAGAGAUGAAAGUGAUGAGAUGAUUGUGAGAUGGUGAAUGUGCAAGUUGAAGAUUGUGAAGGAGUAAAAAAAUGACAAAGAAAAGACAAUCAUGUACAAAACACAUUAUAUUGUAAAAGACAGAUUUGAGGCAAGAAAAAUUGGACAGAGUAUAAAAAAAAUGAAAAAAUUCAGACGAAAUAAUAUGACGAGGAUUAAAAAAAUGGAAAACACAGAAAAUAAAAACAUUAAAAGACAAACACAAAGCAAGAAAAUCAGACAAGAAUUAGUAAAAACACACUGAAGACAUAAAACAUUGGCACAGAAACCCAAACAAACAGGCAGACAGUUUGUAGACAGACAGACAGACAGACAAAACACACAAUCACAUACAAAAGACAAGAGAAGAGAAACAUGACAAUAGAAAAACAAAAACAAACAAACACAAUAGACUAAAAGACAGAGAAAGAGAAAAUUUUGAAGCAGCAACAAGAUUAAGAACAAAAGAAAACAAGAAGUAAAAGAAGACAACCUGAUAAAAUAAUAAAAACGUUUGUCAAUUUAGAAAAUAGAAGAAAAACCCUGCAAUAAUUGUAGACCUGAACACUUUGAAGCCUAGACUCUUAUGCAUGAUAGCCCUAACUAGGCCUACAGCUCCCCUACCCUGUCCUGCCCUCAACUUAGGCCUAACUCAGGUCAACUUGGGUCGCUGGCACCACCUACUACUUGACCUGUGACCUGUGAAGUGUAUAUUCGUUCGACUGUAUUGCAAGGUCACAGAUAUGACUUGGUGGGGUUCUCAAGGGUGUUUUUCCUCUACUAAUGAUGCAGAAAGCUUGUUAAAAAUGGUGGUGUUUAAUGCAAGGCUCUGCAGUAGUAGUAGUAGUAGUAGUCAUGGUGCUGCUGGUGGCCUGUUCCUGACUAUAUAUGUACAUUUGUGUUCUUAAAGUGAGGCUCAGUAGUAGUAGUAGUAGUAGUAGUAGUAGUCAUGGUGUUAGGUGACUUGUAUCUGACUAUUUGUACAUCUUUGUGUUCUCCUAUAGUAGUAGUAGUAGUAGUAGUAGUAGUGCAUCCCUCACUUAAGUACAUCUUGGUGUUGUCUUGACUACAGGCCCUUUAGUAGUAAUGGCAGUCAUGGUAUUAGUGGUGCUUAGAGACCUUGCAGCAGCAGCAGUAGUAGUAGUAGUAGUAGUAGUCGUAGUAUUAGUAGUGUUCUUGACCCCAGUAGUAGCAGUAGAAGUGAUGGUAUAGCACUACAUGAAGACCCUGUAGUAGUAGUAGUGGUGGUGGUGGUAACCUGAGACGCUGAAGUAUUGAUGGUGUGGCAUUGCAUGAGGACGUAGUAGCGGUAGUAGUAGCAGUAGUAGUGGUGGUGGUGGUGCUGCGUCCCUUCCUAUAUGUACAUCUCGGUGUUCUUCUUCACCUGGGGGCCGGUGGUGGCAUGCUGCACAGCCCAGUCGGCAUCCGGGGCCACAUCUGCGCCAUCAGCUUCAUGGGUGCGGUAGUCCCCCUUGUGACGCGCCAUGUACCGGCCGAUCAGGAACCCCAUGCACAGCAAUGCGAGGAAAAUGAUACCAAGAACUCCUGAGGGGCAGAGCAGCAACUGUCAGGAAAAGUGAGCAAGACAGAUGAACACAAUACUACCAGUGCAAUGCUACACUCUGGUACACAGUGAGGAAGCGAGGUACAGAAACACUUUACAAGAAGGUACGUACUCUACCAAUUACACUGAAGGACUCUACAAACAAUGCUACAAAACUACACUUAAUAUGAAGGUAUGGACUCUACAAACAAUGCUGUGUGGCCCUAAGUAAACACGUUCUACUUGACAAAGCAUGAUUUCUAAGUCAACAAACUCUACACAAACCACACACUAUUCUAAACAAGUUCUCUACCCAACGAGCAAUAUUCUAAGUAAACAAACACCAUUAACAUCACAAUAUUCUACAUACAGAAACACUACAAAAUAUUCUAAAGCAAACACAACAUGACAAGUACUUAAACUCUACAAAACAAAACAAAAAACUUAUGAUAAAACUUGCAAUCAAAACUGUAAUCAAGGAAUAUUAUAAUGACGAACACAGACACAGCAAACUCAAAGAAACAUUAACAAAAAACAAAAUAAUACUGACACUACUUUCUUUACAGGCACCUCACGAGUCCCAAGGAUAAAACAAGAACCAGAAAGGAGGAGGAGAAACAUGCUAGAGGAACAAGAAAGAAGGAAGGAUAUGCAGGGAGAAAAGGAGAAGGGUAUGAAGAAAGGAUGUGAAGGAAGGAGAGAAAACAAGGAAAGAAGAAAGGAUAAGCAGGAUUUUACAGCUCAAACCACACGGCAAGCCAGAUUAGUGAAGAAAGAAGACAGAGAGAACACACAGCAAGCUAGAUAUUACCAGCCAGAAGGGACACAAGACAACACAAGCCAUAGACCACAAGCCAGAAGAGACGCUAAACUACUAUAAGCCAGAUAACACAAGGAGUGACUUAGCUACACUGCAAGACAAAGAUCAGCAAAAACAGCCACACAGAUGAACAAGCCAGAACACAAGCCACUACAAGCCACACACAUGGGCCACCGCAGCCAGGCACUCACCCCCAAGGACCGCAGAAUUGUCCGAGUAUAAGCCCAUGAGCACGUCCUCCGACACUUCCGGUGGUGGCCGUGUCUCUGCCUCUUCCUCGGGGUACCUAAUGGGCUCGAUCCCGCAGUAGUCCUCGAAGACGGAGGAUGCUGUGGAAGAGAAGGAUGUUGUUGGUCUGUCCGCGUCCUACAGUGACUUCUCAACAAUGUAGGAUAUUGGGGAGAAAGUGCCUGACGGUGGAGGAUGUUAAGGGGAAGGAAGAAUGGUUACUGCUGGGCUGUUUGCGUCCUACACCGUGUAUGUGCUGUGGGAUGACGGAUGGUUACGAAUGAGUCCUUGAGUUGAAGGUGGAAGGUGGCUGAGGAAAUGGAAGGAUACAAUUAGCUUGCGUCCGACAGUUUUAGUCCUAGGUGUAGAAAUGAAGGAAAUAAGGGUAUGUGGUCUCUCUCUCUCUCUCUCUCUCUCUCUCUCUCUCUCUCUCUCUCUCUCUCUCUCCACAGCCCCACAGUAUGUCCCCCACAGUAAACAAUCACUCACAACACCCCCUCACAAACAUACAAACUCACACAUACACCCUCCCUCUCUCUUACAAACCUAAACACACACACACCAACACUUUUUCUCAAACACAACCACACACUUGUCCUCCCAGCAACCCACGCCUGUUCCCCACACCCGCACCAAACUCACAGCAGCGUUCCGGUACGCCACACAAGCCACCGUGUACGCCUGCCACAUGGCCGCGCUGUGUACGGAUGAGCGUGUGCGUGUAGGGAUGUGUGUGCGCGCACUGCUGUCACCUGCUGCACUGACUGUCAUGGACCUUACCUGUCUAGCUCUUUGUCUUCUCUGUAUCCUCCUCCUCCUCCUCUUGCUUCCUCCUCCUCCUCCUCUCUGUCUGAAACCUUAUAGCAGUUUCUGUUACUACUACCACUACAACUUUUUUCUAUUUUUUUUUUUUU